CUUGAAUCAUUCCAUUCCACUCCACCAUACAAUGUUUAUCAGUAUACCAUACAACUGGUCUGUAACGUUUGUGAAUAUCCUGUUUUCUUGAAGUACGUGUCAAGAAGUUAGUUAGAAUUAAACCUGAAUAAUCCAGUCGUUAUAUUCCAGACCGUAAGAGGGCGCUGAAUUAUUCGAGUUAAAUGCCAAGUCUUCAGGGACCUUUAUUCGUUAUACUUAUCGUACUUUAUGUACUUGUUCCAGGGAUUGCGACGAACAAUUUCCGAUACUUUAACUUGUGCUGGCCGGACUAUUGGGCUUGGAAGAGAGGAUAUGAUUGCUGUAUAAACGAAAAUAAAAAUAUAAUAAGGGAACUUACAUCAAACCUGCAGCGAGUUAAAACAGAAUUAGACAGACAGAAAAAUGUCACAGCGACAUCCGACGCAGAAUUUUUAAAAAGAAUAUCUACCUCUAUAGUAGAACAGAAUAGUUUAUGGUUAAAAUGCAUCACCGUAAAACCUGGCAGAGAUUGCGACAUCACACAAGGUUGUGCAACUAAAGACAGAACAUGUCGUCCAAUUAAUGUGUGAACAUGUCGUCCAAUAAAUGUGUGAACAUUUCGAUAGUCAAAGAAUAACGUAAAUACUAUUAAAACAUUUGGAGUAGUUUGUAGAACCACUAAACAGUUGGAGUACUUUCCAUAACUGCUAAGUAGUUGGAGUAAUUUGUUUACGUACCUACUAAACAUUUGGAGUAAUUAGUUGCCAGGAGAUGUGUUUUUAUUUAAUAUUAUUGAACUGAUGGGACGGCUUUACUGUCCAUUUAGAAUUUAUUUUUUUGAAAAUUGUCAGAGACAUCGAGUUAAAAAAUCACUAAACAUACUGUUUUUUUAUUUUAAGAUCAUGAAGAUUUUAUUUGGCUAAUUUCGUCUUAAAAUAACUAAAGAAAUUAUUAUCUGAUUUCAAAAUU
This is a long non-coding RNA of Mytilus trossulus (common blue mussel), 948 nucleotides long. RefSeq lists it as uncharacterized. The record is from RefSeq and is a predicted model, not a curated record. The transcript has 3 exons. Lineage: Eukaryota; Metazoa; Mollusca; Bivalvia; Mytilida; Mytilidae.